ACCCAACUAGCUCAGUCGUUAGAGCAUGGGACUCUUAAUUCCAGGGUGGUGGAUUUCGGCCCCAUGUUGAGCA
This 73-nucleotide transfer RNA is filed under the name Cricetulus griseus (Chinese hamster). It matches the Rfam family "tRNA". From Rfam's summary of the family: Transfer RNA (tRNA) molecules are approximately 80 nucleotides in length. Their secondary structure includes four short double-helical elements and three loops (D, anti-codon, and T loops). Further hydrogen bonds mediate the characteristic L-shaped molecular structure. tRNAs have two regions of fundamental functional importance: the anti-codon, which is responsible for specific mRNA codon recognition, and the 3' end, to which the tRNAs corresponding amino acid is attached (by aminoacyl-tRNA synthetases). tRNAs cope with the degeneracy of the genetic code in two manners: having more than one tRNA (with a specific anti-codon) for a particular amino acid; and 'wobble' base-pairing, i.e. permitting non-standard base-pairing at the 3rd anti-codon position. The record is from Rfam by way of RNAcentral. Lineage: Eukaryota; Metazoa; Chordata; Mammalia; Rodentia; Cricetidae.